AUUUAAGUAGUUUAAUUGAAAAAAUAUUAAUUUGUGGGGUUAAAGUUAUAAAAUAGUUUAUCUUAAAUA
This 69-nucleotide transfer RNA is filed under the name Acropyga myops. RNAcentral's name for it is "tRNA-His". Lineage: Eukaryota; Metazoa; Arthropoda; Insecta; Hymenoptera; Formicidae. The record is from RNAcentral.